GGCGGAUUCGUCUAACAGGUCAGGACAAGAGGCUUUCAAUCUCUAAAUGCCGGGUUCGAACCCCGCAUCCGUCACCA
Molecule: transfer RNA, 77 nt
Filed under: Ruminococcus sp.
Lineage: Bacteria; Bacillati; Bacillota; Clostridia; Eubacteriales; Oscillospiraceae
Description: tRNA-Glu
Rfam family: tRNA
About the family: Transfer RNA (tRNA) molecules are approximately 80 nucleotides in length. Their secondary structure includes four short double-helical elements and three loops (D, anti-codon, and T loops).
Source: RNAcentral